GCCUAGGUGGCUUAGUUGGUUAAGUGUCUGACUUUGGUUCAGGUCAUGAUCUCAUGGUUUGUGGGUUUGGGUCCCACAUCAGGCU
Molecule: transfer RNA, 85 nt
Filed under: Felis catus (domestic cat)
Lineage: Eukaryota; Metazoa; Chordata; Mammalia; Carnivora; Felidae
Rfam family: tRNA
About the family: Transfer RNA (tRNA) molecules are approximately 80 nucleotides in length.
Source: Rfam by way of RNAcentral